Molecule: long non-coding RNA, 261 nt
Organism: Oreochromis aureus
Lineage: Eukaryota; Metazoa; Chordata; Actinopteri; Cichliformes; Cichlidae
Exons: 5
Source: RefSeq, a predicted model, not a curated record
CUCCCUCAAAGAUGAUGAGCAGGGCACACCGAUCUUCCUCAUGUUGAUACGCCCAUGGCAUCGUCCUCCCUCAAAGAUGAUGAGCAGGGCACACCGAUCUUCCUCAUGUUGAUACGCCCAUGGCAUCGUCCUCCCUCAAAGAUGAUGAGCAGGGCACACCGAUCUUCCUCAUGUUGAUAUGCCCAUGGCAUCGUCCUCCCUCAAAGAUGAUGAGCAGGGCACACCGAUCUUCCUCAUGUUGAUAUGCCCAUGGCAUCGUCC